ACACCUCAACCCUCCAAUGUUUUUGCAUUGAAGGCGUUGGUAGUGAGCGCUGCCGGACUUCGGAUCGGCUCGCUUUAAAAUCAUUAGCUGGAUCCAUUCUGACCUGGUUCUACUCGGCGUAAUAAGUUAUUAUCGUCGAGGACGCUUGGCCUUCUAGGCUGGCGGCCACAGUAAGGGUGUUUGAACCGCUUCUAACGCGUCUUGCUCUUGUAGCAAACACUUGAACCU
Molecule: unclassified non-coding RNA, 228 nt
Filed under: uncultured Geminibasidium
Lineage: Eukaryota; Fungi; Basidiomycota; Geminibasidiomycetes; Geminibasidiales; Geminibasidiaceae
Description: sequence contains ITS2
Source: RNAcentral